Panthera uncia (snow leopard) is the source of this 1518-nucleotide long non-coding RNA. RefSeq lists it as uncharacterized. The record is from RefSeq and is a predicted model, not a curated record. Lineage: Eukaryota; Metazoa; Chordata; Mammalia; Carnivora; Felidae. The transcript has 3 exons.
UCCUAUUUUCUUCAAUUAAGCAGCUAUUUCAAAGACAUGUCAUCUGUUUACCAUUAAUGCAUCCUAACACAGCCAUCCGUGGAUCAACAGCAGAGACCAUCUAGAAAGGCUACAUUAUACUUGUGCAAUUUUUAUAUGCUUUCUCAUAUGCAUGUACAUUUCAAUUCCAAGCCAACAUCUUUAAAGCGAAAUAUCACAGGGAAAAUAAAAUGACAGUGAAUUUAACUUUACAGGGGAAAAAUGUAUUGAAACUUAUAUUACUUAAACAUCAAUGUUCUUUUUCUGACUUUUGCUUUACUCAGAUGUUCAAAGUGAAGGACUUUGCAGUCCUUCUUUGCAACUCCCACAUGGACAUUUCUGUAUACUUCCAGGCGAACUGGCAGUUUCUCCUUGCCAUGACUUAAAAUUGUCCUAAUAUUUGCUAACCAAAUUUGGGUGUCAUUUUCCUUCCAUAACAGUCCUUUUCCUUUCCCCAGGGGUAGAAAGAGAUGCUGAGGUGUUCUGAGAAACAAUUAAUUUAAAAAGAAAAAGAAAAGGAAGUUCUCACCCCAUCGGAUGUCCCCUCAGACUAUCUUCUGUGUGUAUUUAUCCACCAGUGUGGGUUGCCAUCUGCUCACUACCAGGUGCCCUCAUAAGUGAAAGCCAGCUGUCCUGACUCUUCACUUCCUCCCUCCUCACAAAAAGCUACCAGUUUUCACUCAUUCAGUUAACAAAUAUCUAUUAUACCCUUAUGAGAGAUGAUGAUAAAUAUCACAAGCAUUUAAAAUGUGCAUUUCUUUUGAGAAAUUAUUUCAUUUCUAUGAACUUUUACUAGGAAAUAUCAUGGACUUGGUUAUAAGGACGUUCAAUUGCAAUGUAAAAGAUAAAAACUAAGUGGAAAAAACAAUAAAAUAGAAUCCUAUACAACAUAAAGCAUUAUUAAAUGAAAAUGGCAGAUUGGCCAUAACAGUAUAUGAAUAUUACAUAAAACAAUGUACGUAUAUUUUUGAAAUUUAAUAUGCUAUUUUUAGAGCAAUUUUCACAGCAAAACUGAGCUGAAAGUACAGUGUUCACAUAUAUCCCCUGCCCUCACAUACACAAAGCCUCCCCCACUCAACAUCUUGAACCACAGUGGUAUGUUUGUUAUAAUCUAUGAGCCUACACUGAUACAUCAUUAUCAGCCAAAGUCCAUAAUGUACAUUAUGGUUUACUCUUGGUACAUUCUACAGUACAUUAUGGUACAUUCUAUGGGUCUUGACAAAUAUAUAAUGACAUGUAUCUACCAUUGUAAAACUAUAUUUUGAAAAUAGAAACACAUACUUUAAAGUAUUAAUAUUUAUGUUUGGAUAACAGAAUUGCAGAAGAAUGUCUCUCUGUAUUUUUUACUCUAGGUAUACAUUAUUUUAUAAUAAAACAGUAAUUUUCAAGAGCCUCUGUUUAAGUAGGGGAACUAAAAGUUAAUGGAAGUGUUGCCUUGAUGAUUACUGGUAGGUGGCAAAAGAAAGUAAGUCCAACUAAAAAAUUAAAAGAAGUUAGGUA